Molecule: ribosomal RNA, 773 nt
Filed under: uncultured Neocallimastigales
Lineage: Eukaryota; Fungi; Neocallimastigomycota; Neocallimastigomycetes; Neocallimastigales
Description: partial large subunit ribosomal RNA
Rfam family: Eukaryotic large subunit ribosomal RNA
Source: RNAcentral
GAGAGAGACAUGCGCGCAUAUCAAUAAGCGGAGGAAAAGAAACUAACAAGGAUUCCCCUAGUAACGGCGAGUGAAGCGGGAAGAGCUCAAAUUUGAAAUCUUAAAGGGUUUCCCUUUACGAAUUGUAGUUUAAAGAAGUGUUUUCCGUUGAGGUUUUGGUAAAAGUUCUUUGGAAUAGGACAUCAUAGAGGGUGAGAAUCCCGUAUUUGACCUUUACUUUCAACUUUGUGAUACACUUUCAAAGAGUCGGAUUGUUUGGGAAUGCAGUCCAAAAUGGGUGGUAAAUUUCAUCUAAAGCUAAAUAUUGGCGAGAGACCGAUAGCGAACAAGUACCGUGAGGGAAAGAUGAAAAGAACUUUGAAAAGAGAGUUAAACAGUACGUGAAAUUGUCAAAAGGGAAGCGUUUGACACCAGUGUUGUUUUUCUGAAAAUCAAUUAAAGAACUGUUUAUGCUAAGUUGUUUAGACUUUAUCAGCUAACUGUUUAGUUUUGAGCUUUUCUUUAAUGCACUUUUCAGUUAACAAGUCAACAUCAAUUUCUUUUGCUGUAAAAAAGCUUGAGGAAGGUGGCUUGAGAUUCGUCUUAAGUGUUUAUAGCCUCUUGCCUAUGCAGUCGGAGAGAUUGAGGUCUGCAGCGUAGAUCCUUCGGGGCUAAAUGCAUUUGUGCUAAGUUAUAGCAUUUUAUAGACAACUUGUUGACUAUGAUUUGUCUUGUAGCUUACUCGCUUAUGUUAUUUUACCUACGCUUAGGAUGUUGACGCAUGAGAUAUACGC